RNAcentral lists this ribosomal RNA (254 nucleotides) under uncultured bacterium. RNAcentral's name for it is "partial 16S ribosomal RNA". It matches the Rfam family "Bacterial small subunit ribosomal RNA", at positions 524 to 776 of the family's 1533-position model. The record is from RNAcentral.
UACGUAGGGUGCAAGCGUUAAUCGGAAUUACUGGGCGUAAAGCGUGCGCAGGCGGUCUGUUAAGACCGAUGUGAAAUCCCCGGGCUUAACCUGGGAACUGCAUUGGUGACUGGCGGGCUUGAGUGUGGGCAGAGGGGGGUGGAAUUCCGCGUGUAGCAGUGAAAUGCGUAGAGAUGCGGAGGAACACCGAUGGCGAAGGCAGCCCCCUGGGCUAACACUGACGCUGAGGCACGAAAGCGUGGGGAGCAAACAGG